RNAcentral lists this ribosomal RNA (207 nucleotides) under uncultured Bacillota bacterium. RNAcentral describes it as "uncultured Firmicutes bacterium partial 16S ribosomal RNA". It matches the Rfam family "Bacterial small subunit ribosomal RNA", at positions 568 to 774 of the family's 1533-position model. The record is from RNAcentral. Lineage: Bacteria; Bacillati; Bacillota.
CGCGUAGGCGGGUAUUUAAGUCAGAUGUGAAAACUCUGGGCUCAACCUGGAGACUGCAUUUGAAACUGAAUAUCUUGAGGGCAGGAGAGGAAAGUGGAAUUCCUAGUGUAGCGGUGAAAUGCGUAGAUAUUAGGAGGAACACCAGUGGCGAAGGCGACUUUCUGGACUGUACCUGACGCUGAGGCGCGAAAGCGUGGGGAGCGAACG